This is an RNA transcript of Coffea eugenioides, 5921 nucleotides long. It is a transcript of the gene named callose synthase 11-like, with no coding region annotated. NCBI's taxonomy places the organism in Eukaryota, Viridiplantae, Streptophyta, Magnoliopsida, Gentianales, Rubiaceae. The record is from RefSeq and is a predicted model, not a curated record. The transcript is spliced from 4 exons.
AACAACUCCAGUGGCUAAAGCAACAAUUUCUGAAGAACCCAUUUGCUUGAAUAUCCUGAAGAAGCUGAUGCUAUGAAUUUAAGGCAGCGUCCUCAAGCUACGCGCGGCCGCGGGACACUUGACGCGCCGCCUCGACCUCCCUUACAGCAGCAGGAGCCAUAUAACAUAAUUCCCAUUCAUAAUCUCUUGACUGACCAUCCUUCUCUCCGGUACCCAGAGGUACGGGCCGCCGCAGCCGCCCUGCGCGCCACUGAGGACCUCAAGGUGCCGUCCUUUAUGCCGUGGAAUGAUUCCAUGGAUAUCGUGGACUGGCUGGGGUUCUUCUUCGGGUUCCAAGGGGACAACGUGAAGAACCAAAGAGAGCACUUGGUGCUUCACUUGGCAAACUCCCAAAUGCGCCUCCAACCUCCGCCAGCAAGCGUCGAUCGCCUUGAUUUUGGUGUACUCCGCCGCUUUAGUCAGAAGUUGCUCAAGAAUUACACCUCAUGGUGCUCUUAUUUGCGUAAAAGGUCUCAAGUUCGGCUUCCAAAACGCCAGAACUCUGCCCUUCUCCGCCGGGAACUCUUGUAUGUAAGCCUCUACUUGUUGAUUUGGGGUGAGGCGGCGAACCUCCGCUUUACGCCGGAAUGUUUGUGUUACAUUUAUCAUAACAUGGCUGGGGAGUUAAAUCACAUUCUUGAUGGGCAUAUUGAUGAAAAUACUGGACAGCCGUAUGUUCCCUUGACUUGUGGUCAGUAUGGUUUCUUGAAUUAUAUUGUUACACCUAUUUACACUGCAAUUAAGGGUGAAGUUGCGAGGAGCAGAAAUGGGGCUGCCCCACAUUCUGCUUGGAGGAAUUAUGAUGAUAUUAACGAGUACUUUUGGAGUAGAAAGUGCUUCAAGAGACUGAAAUGGCCUAUUGAUUUGUCGAGUAAUUUUCUUUUGGUUAGCGGUGGCGAGAGAGUAGGGAAGACAGGAUUUGUGGAGCAAAGAACUUUCUGGAAUGUUUUUAGGAGUUUUGAUAGGUUGUGGGUGAUGCUAAUUUUGUUCUUUCAGGCUGCUAUGCUUGUUGCCUGGGAGCGAAGCAAGUAUCCAUGGCAAGCCUUGGAGAGUAGGGAUCUGCAGGUGCAGCUGCUUACAAUAUUCAUUACUUGGGCAGCCUUGAGAUUUGUUCAAGCAAUUCUUGAUGCUGGGACACAGUACAGUUUAGUCUCAAGGGACACGAUAUGGAUUGGCGUGAGAAUGGUGUUAAAAGGGUUAGAUGCUCUCACGUGGACCGUUGUGUUUGGGGUGUUUUAUGGGAGGAUUUGGAGCCAAAAAAAUUCUGAUGGCAGGUGGUCAUAUGAAGCAAACCAGAGAAUAUUGACAUUUCUGAAGGUUGUUUUAGUCUACGUCAUUCCUGAGUUGUUGGCUCUGGUUCUUUUCAUUCUUCCAUGGAUUCGAAAUUUACUCGAGGAAGUGGAUUGGACUAUCUUUCGCUGGUUAAGAUGGUGGUUUUAUACCCCAAUAUUUGUCGGUCGGGGGCUCAGGGAAGGACUUGUUAGUAACAUAAAGUACACGAUAUUUUGGAUUCUUGUCCUGCUUUCAAAAUUCUUGUUCAGUUACUUCCUUCAGAUCAAGCCCCUGGUUGCUCCAACAAAGGCUCUUCUGAAGAUGCAUGGAACAUACAGGUGGCAUCAAUUUUUUGGUAGCACCAAUAGAGUGGCUGUAAUUAUGUUGUGGGUUCCUGUUAUUUUGAUAUAUUUAAUGGAUUUGUUAGUUUGGUAUUCAAUAUUCUCCUCUAUUGUCGGGGGAGUUAUUGGAUUGUUUUCUCAUAUAGGUGAGAUCCGAAACAUUCAACAGCUGAGGCUUCGAUUCCAGUUCUUUGCAAGCGCAUUGCAAUUUAAUCUAAUGCCUGAGGAUCACACCACAGGCUCGAAAGCAACACUGGUACACAAAUUGCGGGAUGCACUGCAUAGACUGAAGCUGCGGUAUGGCCUUGGCCAGCCAUAUAAGAAGAUGGAAUCGAGCCAGGUGGAAGCAACUAGGUUUGCAUUGCUGUGGAAUGAAAUGAUAAUAACUUUGAGAGAGGAAGACCUGGUCAGUGACCAGGAAGUGGAGCUAAUGGAACUGCCUCCUAAUUGUUGGGACAUUAAGGUUAUUCGAUGGCCCUGUGCUCUUCUCUGCAAUGAGCUCUUGCUUGCUCUCAGUCAUGCAACAGAACUGGAGGAUGCGCCAGAUAGAUGGGUAUGGUAUAGGAUUUGCAAGAAUGAGUACAGACGCUGUGCUGUAAUUGAGGUGUAUGAUAGCAUCAAAUAUUUGCUUUGUAACGUUAUUAUUAAAUAUGGCACAGAAGAGCAUUCAAUAGUCACUAAUCUGUUCACUGGGAUUGAUGAAAGCAUUCAUUUUGAAAAGUUCGCAGCGACAUACAAGACAUCUGUUUUCCCCAAGAUUCAUGAACAGUUGAUAUCUCUCAUCCAUCUUUUGCUCAUGCCUCAGAAGAACAUGACAAAGAUAGUGAAUGUAAUGCAGUACUUGUAUGAGCUUUCUGUUCGAGAAUUUCCACGGAUGAAGAAAUCUGUUGCACUGUUGAAACAGGAAGGUUUAGCACCUCUAAAUCCUGCAUCAUCUGCUGAUGGACAACUUUUUGAAAAUGCUCUGGAAUUUCCUGAAGCUGGAGACAUUUUCUUCUAUAGGCAGCUAAGACGUUUGCAGACAAUACUUACAUCUAAAGAUUCAAUGCACAAUGUCCCAAGAAAUCUUGAGUCGAGGAGACGCAUUGCUUUCUUUAGUAAUUCGUUAUUUAUGAACAUGCCACGAGCUCCGCAAGUUGAGAAGAUGAUGGCCUUCAGUGUCUUGACUCCUUACUAUGAUGAAGAUGUGUUGUAUGGUAAAGAAAUGCUUAGAAGUCCCAAUGAAGAUGGCAUCUCAACCUUAUUUUAUUUGCAGAAGAUUUAUGAAGAUGAGUGGACAAAUUUUCUGGAGAGGAUGCGCAGGGAAGGUAUGCAAAAUGAUGAUGAGAUUUGGACCACAAAGGUGAGGGAUCUCCGACUGUGGGCAUCACACAGAGGCCAGACAUUGUCUCGUACAGUGAGAGGGAUGAUGUACUACUAUAGGGCACUGAAAAUGCUUGCCUUCCUUGAUACUGCGUCUGAGUUGGAUAUAAGGCAGGGAUCGGAUGGAAAUGCUUAUCUUGCUUCACUGCAGCAGAACAGCGGUUUGGAUGGACUAGAUUCUUACACGGCAUCAACUUCUCAAACUCUUGGCCGAGCAAGUAGCAGUGUGAGCCUUCUUUUCAAAGGUCACGAGUUUGGCAGUGCUAUGAUGAAAUUCACUUAUGUUGUUGCCUGCCAGAUGUAUGGGCAUCAUAAGGUAAAGGGUGAUCCUCGUGCUGAAGAUAUUUUCAACUUGAUGAAAAAUAAUGAGGCCCUUCGAGUAGCUUAUGUUGAUGAGGUUUACCUGGGAAGGGAAGAGGUGGAAUAUUACUCUGUCUUGGUGAAGUAUGAUCAACAACUAAAGAGAGAGGAUGAAAUUUACCGUAUCAAGUUGCCUGGUCCAUUGAAGCUGGGUGAAGGAAAACCAGAGAACCAGAACCACGCCAUCAUUUUUACUCGCGGUGAUGCAAUUCAGACCAUAGAUAUGAACCAAGAUAAUUAUUUUGAGGAGGCAUUGAAGAUGCGGAAUUUACUGGAGGAGUUUAAAUCCUAUCAUGGUAUCAGGAGGCCCACAAUUCUCGGAAUUCGUGAAAAUAUUUUUACUGGUUCUGUGUCAUCUCUUGCUUGGUUCAUGUCUGCUCAAGAAAUGAGUUUUGUAACUCUGGGGCAACGAGUUCUGGCAAAUCCUUUGAAGGUUCGGAUGCACUACGGACAUCCUGAUGUCUUUGACAGAUUCUGGUUUUUGACUCGAGGUGGCAUAAGCAAAGCUUCUAAAGUGAUCAAUAUUAGUGAGGACAUAUAUGCGGGAUUCAAUUGCACGUUGCGAGGUGGCAAUGUGACGCACCAUGAGUACAUACAGGUGGGUAAGGGAAGGGAUGUUGGAUUAAAUCAGAUAUCCAUGUUUGAGGCAAAGGUUGCUAGCGGCAAUGGUGAGCAGGUCUUGAGUAGAGACGUAUACAGGUUGGGUCAUCGGCUAGAUUUCUUUCGUAUGCUUUCGUUCUUUUAUAGUACUGUCGGAUACUUCUUCAACACCAUGAUGGUGGUCCUCAUGGUCUACACUUUUCUUUGGGGACGCCUUUAUCUUGCUCUCAGUGGUGUUGAAAACAGUGCCAAGGAAGCGAGUGACAAUAAAGCGCUUGGUGCAAUCUUGAAUCAACAGUUCAUCAUCCAAAUUGGUAUUUUCACUGCCCUCCCAAUGAUUGUGGAAAAUUCUCUAGAACAUGGGUUCCUUCCUGCUAUUUGGGAUUUUGUAACAAUGCAACUGCAGCUUGCUUCACUGUUUUACACAUUCUCACUUGGAACACGUGCACAUUAUUUUGGUCGGACCAUUCUUCAUGGAGGUGCCAAGUACAGGGCUACUGGACGUGGUUUUGUUGUGCAACAUAAAAGCUUUGCAGAGAACUAUAGAUUAUAUGCUCGCAGCCAUUUUGUGAAAGCAAUUGAGCUUGGAGUGAUUCUCAUAGUGUACGCCUCACAUAGUCCUUUGGCUUCAAAUACCUUUGUUUACAUUGCAAUGACCAUCUCAAGUUGGUUCCUUGUUGUAUCGUGGAUGAUGUCACCCUUUAUCUUCAAUCCUUCUGGUUUUGAUUGGUUGAAAACUGUCUACGACUUCGAUGAUUUCAUGAAAUGGCUAUGGUAUAAUAGAGGAGUUUUCAUAAAAGCAGAUCUCAGCUGGGAAACAUGGUGGUACGAGGAGCAGGAGCACUUGAGGACAACUGGUCUUUGGGGAAAAUUACUGGAGAUUAUUUUAGAUCUUCGUUUCUUCUUUUUCCAGUACGGAAUUGUUUACCACUUGAACAUUACUGGUAAGAACAAAAGUAUUGCUGUGUAUUUGCUGUCUUGGAUCUACAUGGUUGUGGCAGUUGCAAUCUAUAUUGUCAUAGGAUAUGCUCAGGAAAAGUAUGCUGCAAAGAAGCAUAUCUACUAUCGACUGGUUCAGUUGGUUGUUAUUGUGCUUAUUGUACUUGUGAUCAUUCUGUUGCUCAAGUUCACUGGCUUUACAUUUCUUGAUCUUAUCUCGAGUCUCUUGGCAUUUAUACCCACGGGAUGGGGCAUAAUACAAAUUGCUCAAGUUCUCAGGCCUUUUCUGCAAUCCACAGUAGUUUGGGAGACUCUAGUCUCCUUGGCUCGUCUGUAUGAUAUGAUAUUUGGGUUAAUUGUUAUGGUUCCUCUGGCAAUUGUGUCAUGGAUGCCUGGACUAGAGUCGAUGCAGACAAGGAUGCUGUUCAAUGAAGCUUUCAGCAGGGGACUCCAGAUAUCUCAGAUCCUGACUGGCAAAAAGUCCAACUAGGACAUGUAAUAACAGGCUGUUGGCACCAACCAGGAUCAACUUUACAUAUGGGCCUUGAAGAGCCAUGGCCCACUUAAUUCUAGAAAUUUGCCUUCUGUAAUUUCCAUCUAAGAUUUGGCUGUUAGCUGGAUACCAGAGUAGAUCGCUUGUAGUAGGCCUAAAGGAGAAAUUUCUCUGGAGUAUCUCUUGGACUAAUGCACUGGCAGCAUGUAAUUCCGAUGAUGGACAGUCCUGUUAUAUUUUGAUUUUGAUGCUCAGUGGUUGGGCAAUAACCAGGAAGCAGUAUAUAAUUAACUGUUAGUGGGAUGAUUAGUUACACGCUUAUAGUUUUGUAAUUAAGCAAUUUGAAGAAAUAGACUUGGUUUUCCUUGUUCAUGUAAACAUCUCUGAUCUGAUGCUGUACAUAUUUUCACAUGUAAAUUAAAGUAGCUUGGUGCUGUUCCAGACUACAGUUUUGUGCAAAAUUUUUAGACAAUUUCGAUCUGCUUUUUGGAAAAGCUCCUCUUAAAUUGUGCUCC